RNAcentral lists this small RNA (255 nucleotides) under Choloepus hoffmanni (Hoffmann's two-fingered sloth). RNAcentral's name for it is "7SK RNA (ENSCHOG00000015711.1)". It matches the Rfam family "7SK RNA". Rfam says of the family: 7SK was discovered as an abundant small nuclear RNA in the mid-70s but a possible function has only recently been suggested. Two independent studies have found that 7SK RNA binds the CDK9/cyclin T complex (known as elongation factor P-TEFb). P-TEFb activates transcription by phosphorylating the C-terminal domain of RNA polymerase II. The record is from RNAcentral. Lineage: Eukaryota; Metazoa; Chordata; Mammalia; Pilosa; Megalonychidae.
GGAUGUGUGUUCAGUUUCACUGGUUGGCUGUCUCCUUCUUGGUGGCUAUGAUUAAUUUGGACCAUCUGGCAAGCCGGGCUGGGAACCCUUUCACCCUUCUGUUUGCUCACACUGAGCUGUGUGCUCAGUGAAGAGAAUGACCUUCUCAGGUAGCUGGAGGAUUAUUCCUAGGUCUAGAAUAUUUUGAAAGGUAGGAAAAAAUAAAGUAAAUCAUCCAUAAUCCCAUAACUCAAAUUUUAACAGGUUAGUGUAUUU